This 305-nucleotide ribosomal RNA is filed under the name Escherichia coli. RNAcentral's name for it is "partial 16S ribosomal RNA". It matches the Rfam family "Bacterial small subunit ribosomal RNA", at positions 1 to 300 of the family's 1533-position model. Lineage: Bacteria; Pseudomonadati; Pseudomonadota; Gammaproteobacteria; Enterobacterales; Enterobacteriaceae. The record is from RNAcentral.
UUAAAUUGAAGAGUUUGAUCAUGGCUCAGAUUGAACGCUGGCGGCAGGCCUAACACAUGCAAGUCGAACGGUAACAGGAAGAAGCUUGCUUCUUUGCUGACGAGUGGCGGACGGGUGAGUAAUGUCUGGGAAACUGCCUGAUGGAGGGGGAUAACUACUGGAAACGGUAGCUAAUACCGCAUAACGUCGCAAGACCAAAGAGGGGGACCUUCGGGCCUCUUGCCAUCGGAUGUGCCCAGAUGGGAUUAGCUAGUAGGUGGGGUAACGGCUCACCUAGGCGACGAUCCCUAGCUGGUCUGAGAGGA